This 296-nucleotide ribosomal RNA is filed under the name uncultured microorganism. Its description in RNAcentral is "partial 16S ribosomal RNA". It matches the Rfam family "Bacterial small subunit ribosomal RNA", at positions 505 to 796 of the family's 1533-position model. The record is from RNAcentral.
GUGCCAGCAGCCGCGGUAAUACGUAGGUGGCAAGCGUUGUCCGGAAUUAUUGGGGCGUAAAUGGCUCGCAGGCGGUUUCUUAAGUCUGAUGUGAAAGCCCCCGGCUCAACCGGGGGAGGGUCAUUGGAUACUGGGGAACUUGAGUGCAGAAGAGGAGAGUGGAAUUCCACGUGUAGCGGUGAAGUGCGUAGAGAUGUGGAGGAACACCAGUGGCGAAGGGCGACUCUCUGGUCUGUAACUGACGCUGAGGAGCGAAAGCGUGGGGAGCGAACAGGAUGAGAUACCCCUGGUAGUCC